AACUUAUAAAAGCCGAGAAAACUUUGCACUCAUUGGAGUACUACCCACCUGUAAUACGGACGCAUAUUGCUGGUUCUGCUGAUUCCCAGUAAGAGCGGGUCCUCUUCAAGCCUGACUGCCAGAAGUUCUCUCAGUCGAGUGCAGCAAGUUUCUCUUAUGGUGAUGUAUACUUAAGCUGUUUCUUUAAGCUGAAUAUUAAGCUGUUUCCUU
Molecule: long non-coding RNA, 210 nt
Filed under: Pelobates cultripes (western spadefoot toad)
Lineage: Eukaryota; Metazoa; Chordata; Amphibia; Anura; Pelobatidae
Source: RNAcentral